UUCUCCCACAUUUACUUCCAUUAGUUAAUUUACCAAGUGUUAUGACACUUUCAGCUUUUCCAAUUUAUUAACGAUUGAUUUAUAUAUUAGAUUGAACGAUGGCCAAAUUAGAUUCUCACUUUCUAUCGCUAUUAGAUUUCUGGAUUAUGAACUUAUUGGUUUCAACCCCCAAAAUCAAUGCGUGGGAGGAUUCAGAUUUGUUAUCCUCACGUAAUUUUAAAUUGUGGAUCACUGGAUCAACAUGGGUUUGCAAUGACAAUCUACCUCCACGAGUUCUUAAAAUCAUCAUUAGUUGAUCUUCAUCUCAAACCAUCAGAAGAGGACUUAAAGCAAUGGCCUGACACGUAAAAGUAAAACCAUCAUCAUCCUUUUAUGUUAUUUAUCUUUAUAGAUUCUGAAUUUUAUGUGUGUGUUUCCUUUUUGAGUUCUGGGUUUCACUUGCUAUAGAUGGCCACUCAACAUUGAUUUCUUUAGAAAAAUCAAUAGCAAGCCCUUCAGAUUCUUAUUUGCAUAUCAUACUUACCUCGCUGCCUCAGAUAUAAGGGUUUGAAACAUUUGAGCACUUGGAGAACCUCAGCAAAAAGGAGCUUUUAACAUAACAAGGCGAUAGCAAUAACCUUUAAAUCUGAGAUAGACCGGACUUACCUUGGAUAGCCGAAAAUGGUAGCAGUUCUUGAUCAUGAACGGAAAAGAACACAUGUUAUUGGAAAAGAAUGACAAUUCUAAACACGUUGUAUGUAAACCAUGGGAAAAUUCGAAAACCAUGGUGACUUUAGGGGACGAUGAGUACAAAAGCAUACUUUGUGUGGAUUGUUAUUACUUUGAAGCCAUGAGAAGAAUGGACCAGCCGGCUUAUAUUAAUCGCUGUUAAGAUCAGUCUCUGCUUUGAUCAACUUGAACUACAGAGCAAAGGAUUCUGAUUCUGUCUGUUUUGGAAUCCCUUCCAAAAAAAAAUCAUCCACUACAGAGAUCAUGCAGAGGAAUAAGCUUGAUUAUGUAUUUUACUAAAAUAUUAUUGCAGGUGCUGGCUUUUCUUACCAGUCUUGCAAGAAAGGCCCAGUUCCAAGAAGUUGAGCUGGAAAAACAGCCAAGCAGCUCAAAGAGGCGUUUACAAUCUCUAGCGAACAAACGACAAGAUGUGCGGCAACAAAAAAAAAGGGUUAUCAUAUCUCUUACCGCAUAAGUGAAAGACAUGGCUGAAAUAUUACCCGUUCGAUCAGCUCGAACUGUGAAGUCUCCUCGGUCCCUUGAUUCAUUUGGUUCCAGUCCAGGCCGCGUUGACCCUUAUAAUAUCUUAAACCAACCAAAUGGGAACGCGAGCAAAAUGGUGUAAAUACCACAAUGUUUUCUAAUUGGAACGUUACACCUGUAUUUGGAAAUGGAGAAGCAUCGACUGAAGCACAUAACGAGAAUGAAUGGGUUGAGAAAGAUGCGCCUGGCGUCUACAUCAUUCUUACAGCCUUAGCCAGUGGUGUUAGGGACCUCAAACGUGUCUGUUUCAGCCGAAAAGUGAGAAUCAAACGUAAUAGUGGUCGCCAGAUAACAGAGGAAGAGUAUACAAACAAUACAAUAUACGAAUGGUCGAUAAAACCAGUACGGAAAUGCCUCACUGAGACUCUUUUACCCCAACCACUUCUCUUAUUUUCCCAAGCCUGAGGCAUCUGAGUACAAAUAUUGGGAUAUAACAUAUCUUCUAUAUAAAGAUAGAAAAUUUAAAGUUUUGAAAGUGUUUUACAUCUUCUUUCAUUGUAGUUUGGGGGCUGUGUGGUGUUUAUUGUGAGAAGGCAGUAAAUUCUACAUGUAAAAAAUCUGUCCUCACGUCCUCACAGUGGGUUUCAAUCAGAUUUGUAGAUUCAUUGCAACAUUUAGGAAGUAAAGAACUACUACAGAUUAUUACAACCAUUUCUUUCACGGUACUCAUGAUGACUAGAGGAAAAAUGUUUCAGAAGGAGACUAGCGCUCUGCUUUUAAAUGGUCUAAGGAGUAGUGUGCAGCUUGAUCAGCCUUCUGAUUUAUAACGUGAGACCGCCAAAGAUUAUAAAAGAAAACUGUUAACUUUGAUCGAUGCGGAGAAAAGACAUUACAGUGGUAGAUCUCCGGGAUAAUUUCCCUGAGACACUCGCAAAAGCGAGAGUUUUGAGAUUAAAUUAUACGACCAGUAUGAUCUUCAGAACAUGAUAAAGUAUGGCAACCAGAAGUUGAAUGCUGCAUACUAUGAAGACCAAGAAAAUUCCCAAGAAUAUCAUGUGUAUCUACUGUGUUCUCGGUCAGUAUGAAGAGACUUCAUGCAAUGUUCUUAUAUAUUUGCAUCAGGUAAUUUUCUGUUGAUUAAUUUAUCUGCAGGUGAAUGCAAGGGGGCAGUUUGUUGGUCUUGCAAAGGUGAUAUAUAUGUUCGUUUGAUUUCAACAUGAGUAUUGGCAAUAAGAUAAAUAGAUUGGUUGUUACCGUGUUAAGUGGCAUAUCAUCAAAGAUGUACAUAUCAGUAUUCUUGGGCACAUACACUUGCCAAUCUUAUAACGAGAACAAACCCAUCACUAAAGCAGAGGUUCCUUAAACUUUAUGUGAUCCCAGCUUGGAUAUGGUUGAACUGAAUGCUUAAAAUAUUUUCGAUCUUUUCAAACAUUACGGACUUACGGCUUGGAGUCAUGUUUUUCUACUGUAACGGCCAUGCUUUUAUUGUAGGUCAAUCUGGAACAUGGAACCAAGGUAAUUUAGAUAUUUCAAGGAGUUUAUGAGAAAGAAUACAUGUACACUUGAUGGUCUCGCGUUAUAUGAGCCUACACAAAUGAUGAUAAGUGAUAAUAAUAUCAAGCAAAAGAAACAAGUUUUAGGUUGGAUACGAGGAUG
Brassica oleracea var. oleracea is the source of this 2847-nucleotide long non-coding RNA. RefSeq lists it as uncharacterized. The record is from RefSeq and is a predicted model, not a curated record. NCBI's taxonomy places the organism in Eukaryota, Viridiplantae, Streptophyta, Magnoliopsida, Brassicales, Brassicaceae. The transcript is spliced from 8 exons.